AUUUGAAUGUCUGUGGAGGCAUCUGAGAAGAACCUGGAGACUCCUGCGCUGCCGUAGACCUCAUGAGUCUGAAAUAAAACUCUCAGUGGAAGAAACAUCAUCACUAGUCCAUAGCUCCGUCCGUUCUUGGUGAAGGCCAAGUUGUUUUCUUCACUGAGAUGAUCACUUUUGAUGAAUUGAUGAUCAUCCAAACAACAGAAUUCUUGGACCAACUUUUAAAGCAUUUAAAAUAUGGCAAGAUUGAUCUACUUCCCUCAAGCUGUCUCCAAAGCAGAAUCACUGUUACUGAAUAAUGCUGUCCACACAAACCUAGUGCCUCAUCAUUAGUGCCUAUGUAUUCUCAGGAGACCAAACCUGUCGUCAUAAGAUUUCAGAGCCGUUGGCUGGUCCUACGCCUUCAGACUUAAGAAAAUGUGACCACAUUUGCCAACUACCAAAGACGGUGUAUUCUUCUUGUGCCCUACUGGUGUACUAGUCUUUAGGUCAAAUAUGUAAAAUAUUUGUGAGGUCCAUCUA
Labeo rohita (rohu) is the source of this 516-nucleotide long non-coding RNA. RefSeq lists it as uncharacterized. Lineage: Eukaryota; Metazoa; Chordata; Actinopteri; Cypriniformes; Cyprinidae. The transcript is spliced from 3 exons. The record is from RefSeq and is a predicted model, not a curated record.